Molecule: long non-coding RNA, 459 nt
Filed under: Ananas comosus (pineapple)
Lineage: Eukaryota; Viridiplantae; Streptophyta; Magnoliopsida; Poales; Bromeliaceae
Description: long non-coding RNA (ACOM_LNC044199)
Source: RNAcentral
ACAAACGCAUCACAUCUACCAUUAAAAUUGUUAAUUUUGAGACCUUUUGAUCACUAGUCAAAUGAUGUCGAAAAAUUAUGAAAUUUAAUUUCCAAAUACUUUUAAUAGUGUAGAUCAAGUCUAACGGAGCCGAUCGUCGAUUUGGAAGCCGCAUCAUCGAAAACAAUUUGGUAGCACGGAGGCCUCCGUGCUACCGAUAGUAUAGCAGCCUAGCUCUAUAUAUAUAUAUAUAUAUAGUUGAGCUAGAAUAGAAUCGGUAGCAAACGGGCUCCAUUGCUACCCAUUUGUUUUCGAUGAUGGAGCCUCCAAAUCGACGAUCGGCACCGUUGAAUAUGAUCUAUACCACUUGAAGUAUCUAGAAAUCAAAUUUCAUGUUUUUUCGAUAUUGUUCUUUUGUCCAUCAAGUGGGCAUAAAAAUGAACGGCUGAAAAUAAAUAUCCUCUAAAAAGUGAUGAUAGC